RNAcentral lists this ribosomal RNA (406 nucleotides) under Staphylococcus sp. 30400_3112M30941. RNAcentral describes it as "partial 23S ribosomal RNA". It matches the Rfam family "Bacterial large subunit ribosomal RNA", at positions 1 to 400 of the family's 2925-position model. Lineage: Bacteria; Bacillati; Bacillota; Bacilli; Caryophanales; Staphylococcaceae. The record is from RNAcentral.
GAUUAAGUUAUUAAGGGCGCACGGUGGAUGCCUUGGCACUAGAAGCCGAUGAAGGACGUUACUAACGACGAUAUGCUUUGGGGAGCUGUAAGUAAGCUUUGAUCCAGAGAUUUCCGAAUGGGGAAACCCAACAUGAGUUAUGUCAUGUUAUCGAUAUGUGAAUACAUAGCAUAUCAGAAGGCACACCCGGAGAACUGAAACAUCUUAGUACCCGGAGGAAGAGAAAGAAAAUUCGAUUCCCUUAGUAGCGGCGAGCGAAGCGGGAAGAGCCCAAACCAACAAGCUUGCUUGUUGGGGUUGUAGGACACUCUAUACGGAGUUACAAAGGACGAUAUUAGACGAAUCAUCUGGAAAGAUGAAUCAAAGAAGGUAAUAAUCCUGUAGUCGAAAAUAUUGUCUCUCUUGA